GUGCCAGCCGCCGCGGUAAUACAGAGGUCCCAAGCGUUGUUCGGAUUCACUGGGCGUAAAGGGUGCGUAGGUGGCGAUUUAAGUCGGGUGUGAAAUCUCCGGGCUCAACCCGGAGGGUGCGCCCGAAACUGAGUUGCUAGAGGAUGGGAGGGGAGACUGGAAUUCUCGGUGUAGCAGUGAAAUGCGUAGAUAUCGAGAGGAACACCGGUGGCGAAGGCGAGUCUCUGGACCAUUCCUGACACUGAGGCACGAAAGCCGGGGGAGCAAACAGGAUUAGAAACCCGGGUAGUCC
Molecule: ribosomal RNA, 292 nt
Filed under: uncultured bacterium
Lineage: Bacteria
Description: partial 16S ribosomal RNA
Rfam family: Bacterial small subunit ribosomal RNA
Source: RNAcentral